RNAcentral lists this ribosomal RNA (440 nucleotides) under uncultured bacterium. Its description in RNAcentral is "partial 16S ribosomal RNA". It matches the Rfam family "Bacterial small subunit ribosomal RNA", at positions 338 to 795 of the family's 1533-position model. The record is from RNAcentral.
CCUACGGGUGGCAGCAGUGGGGAAUAUUGCACAAUGGGGGAAACCCUGAUGCAGCGACGCCGCGUGAGUGAAGACGUAUCUCGGUAUGUUAAGCUCCAUUUGUAGGGAAGAAAACGACGGUACCUGACUAUGUAGCCCUGGCUAACUACGUGCCAGCAGCCGCGGUAAUACGGAGGGGGCAAGCGUUAUCCGGAUUUACUGGGCUUAAAGGGAGCUUAUACGGUUAAGUAAGUCUGUAGUGAAAGGCCGGGGCCUAACCCCGGGAGUGCGCUGGAAACUGUUGAACUUGAGUGCAGGAGAGGUAAGCGGAAUGCGUGGUGUAGCGGUGAAAUGCGUAGAUAGUAGGAGGAACACCGAUGGCGAAGGCAGCUUACUGGACUGUAACUGACGUUGAGGCUCGAAAGCGUGGGGAGCAAACAGGAGUAGAUACCCGGGUAGUC